CCUACGGGUGGCAGCAGUGGGGAAUAUUGGGCAAUGGGCGGAAGCCUGACCCAGCGACGCCGCGUGAGGGAAGACAGCCUUCGGGUUGUAAACCUCUGUUGCAGGGGAAGAAGGACGUGACGGUACCCUGCGAGGAAGCUCCGGCUAACUACGUGCCAGCAGCCGCGGUAAUACGUAGGGAGCGAGCGUUGUCCGGAAUUACUGGGCGUAAAGGGCGCGUAGGCGGCGCUUCAAGUCGUCUGUCAAAAGCCGAGGCUCAACCUCGGUGCGCAGACGAAACUGGAGAGCUUGAGAAGCAGAGAGGCAAACAGAAUUCCUGGUGUAGCGGUGAAAUGCGUAGAUAUCAGGAAGAAUACCAGUGGCGAAGGCGGUUUGCUGGCUGCAUACUGACGCUGAAGCGCGAAAGCCAGGGGAGCAAACGGGAUUAGAUACCCCGGUAGUC
RNAcentral lists this ribosomal RNA (442 nucleotides) under uncultured Pyramidobacter sp. RNAcentral describes it as "bacterial SSU rRNA". It matches the Rfam family "Bacterial small subunit ribosomal RNA", at positions 338 to 795 of the family's 1533-position model. The record is from RNAcentral. Lineage: Bacteria; Thermotogati; Synergistota; Synergistia; Synergistales; Dethiosulfovibrionaceae.